UAACUACUCGAAGGGGAGUAGCUUACACGAAAGUGGUAAUUAAUCGUCAAGACAGUAGAAAUACUCGGUUAAUUAGCAAGGGAUUCCUUGAUAGCAAGACCUUCAAAAUAAGC
Molecule: unclassified non-coding RNA, 113 nt
Filed under: Clostridioides difficile
Lineage: Bacteria; Bacillati; Bacillota; Clostridia; Peptostreptococcales; Peptostreptococcaceae
Also listed under: 29 other names
Description: yybP-ykoY
Source: RNAcentral